This 73-nucleotide transfer RNA is filed under the name Clytia hemisphaerica. RNAcentral's name for it is "tRNA-Thr for anticodon CGU". It matches the Rfam family "tRNA". From Rfam's summary of the family: Transfer RNA (tRNA) molecules are approximately 80 nucleotides in length. Lineage: Eukaryota; Metazoa; Cnidaria; Hydrozoa; Leptothecata; Clytiidae. The record is from Rfam by way of RNAcentral.
GACACUGUAGCUUAGUGGUUAAAGCACCUGUCUCGUAAACAGCAGAUCCCCAGUUCAAAUAUGGGCAGUUCCU